GUAUUCAGUUGUCCGUCGCUACUCGAGCAGUCAAUUCGAUCACGUUGUGCGCGCGUUAUUCGAAUCGCGUAAUCCUCCGCGAUUCGCAUUUUUUUUCUCUUUACGUUGCUGCUAUUUUUUUCCUUCUGAUUUCAAGUCCAAUGUGCCAUUUUCUAUUAUAGUGCCUUGAUAGAUUUAGGAAUACGACGUGAAGCAACGAAAAUCUUCAUACAAAAAACGAGAAUCAACGAAACAUUCCUUCGAAAGACUUUUUAUUUUCAUUUUUUUACGAACUUUUUUUUUUAAUCUACUAAUUAUAUUUGGUCGAUUUGUGAUUAUCUGGCGAAAAUCACAGAAAGGCUUUAACACACUAUAUAAAAGUGAGCGAGAAUUAAAUGUACUAAACAAGCAAGAUGUCCACUCAAACGUACUAUAAGGACAAAUUGGGUUUCGAUCCGAGGGAGUCCAUCUACCACGAGGCUCCACCACAGAAAUACAGGAAAACCGAGGAGGUACCGCACGGGUACGAGGAGAACCUCACGAAGUUUAAAGGUACUUCCAUUUGGGAUUUAUUUAGAGAGGCUACUUCAGACGAACGAGACGCAGUCCAAAAGAAAACGUUCACGAAAUGGGUCAACAAACAUCUCAAAAAGACUUAUACGUGCCUUCAUGUCUGUGUUUAUAUCAACAAUAGUCCAUGUUGUCCCCCUGCCAAACGCAACAUUCGAGAUCUCUUCGAGGAUCUGCGAGACGGGCACAAUUUAAUCUCCCUCUUGGAAGUACUCACUGGCGAACAACUUCCGAGGGAACGAGGUCAGAUGCGUUUCCAUAUGCUGCACAACAUAGACACCGCCCUGCAUUUUUUACGUUGCAAGAACGUAAAACUAGUCAACAUCAGGUCCGAAGAUAUUGUGGACGGUAACCCUAAGUUAACCCUAGGGUUAAUAUGGACUAUUAUUUUGCACUUCCAGAUCUCGGACAUAAUCGUGGGUCAAGAACCAAACGUUUCGGCCAGAGACUACCUCCUCAGGUGGGCAAAACGAACGACGCACAAAUAUCCGGGAGUACAAGUGCAGGAUUUCACGAAAUCCUGGAGAGAUGGUUUGGCUUUCUCGUCGAUUCUGCAUAGGAACCGGCCCGAUCUUAUUGAUUGGGGUAGGGUUAGGAGCCAGAGGCCCAGGGAACGUCUGGAAACGGUGUUCUUUGUUGCCGAGAAGGAGUAUGGUGUCACCAGGCUCUUGGAUCCAGAAGAUGUUGAUACCCACGAACCCGACGAGAAAUCCCUCAUCACUUACAUCUCAUCGUUGCACGAGGUGUUCCCGGAACCGCCCCCCAUCCACCCCCUUUACGACUCCGUUGCCCAGCAAAAAAUGCAGGAAUACAGGGAGCUCGCGUCUAGUCUUCACAUGUGGAUGAGGGAGAAUUUCAGUCUCAUGCAGGAUCGUAACUUCCCUCCCACUCUAAUUGAAAUGAAAAAACUCGCUACUGAAUCUGCACGAUUCCGUACUGAAGAGAUACCACCCAGACAGAGGGACAAGGGAUACUGCCAUCAGUUGUUUAGGGAUUUGGAGAAGUACUUCAAAACUGUUGGAGAAGUGGAUAUUGAGCCAGAACUCCAUAUCGAGAAUAUCGAGAGGAACUGGCAGAGAUUAAUGAACGCUUAUCAAGAGAGAGACAGGCAUAUUAUCGAAGAAAUUAAACGACUUGAGAAAUUACAAAGAUUAGCAGAAAAAGUUCAUCGCGAAAUAAAACAAACCGACUCACAUUUAGACCAAAUCGAGCAGGCAAUUGAACUCGAAUCGAGACGAAUCGAACGACUCCAUCCGCUAGAAGCGAAAAAAGUGGCCGAUCAGAUCGAUCACGAACUCGUGGUUACCGAAAAGUCAAUUCAGUCACUGAAAUCCGACGUGAACACUUUGAGAAACGGCAGAUACCCCCAGGCUGGCGAGCUGGACAAACGGGUAAACAAACUGCACGACAAGUGGGUGAAAUUGAGGCACAGCCUCCAUAAUAAGAUCGUCGAUCCGUUGGCCAACAUGAGCUUCCCAGUGGAGGAAAGAACCGUAACUAAGCAAAUUAAAACCGUUCAAGAAACCAGAAAUAUUGAGAACAAUCCGCACUUUAGGAGUUUGCAGGAGCAUAUUGACUGGUGCAAAAACAAAUUGAAACAAUUAAAGAAGGCAGACUAUGGAACUGAUUUAUCGUCCGUCCAGCAAGAGCGUGAUAUUCACCAACGUGAACAUAAGACUAUUGAACAGUAUCAUUCCAAAGUAGAGCAAUGCGUGAAAGCUAGACAGUAUUUUAGUGGAGAAGAACUUUCUUUGUAUAAUCAGCAUUUGGGUCAAUUACAAAAGGUUUAUGCUGAGCUACUCUCAUUUAGCACCAAUAGAGCAAACGAUUUGGAGAGCCUGUAUGAUUUUAUUCAAUCCGCUAGCAGAGAGUUACAGUGGCUCAAUGAAAAAGAGGAAAUCGAAGUGACCAGAGACUGGAGCGAUGUGAAAUUGGACGUAGAAGCGGUGGAGAAGUAUUUUGAGCACUUAAUGAGUGACCUAGAAAAACGCGAAAUUCAAUUUAACUCAAUCCUCGAGCGAGGCGAAGCUUUGGUACUCCAAAACCAUCCCGCAACCAAAGCUAUUGAAGCCCAUUUGGCUGCGAUGAACGCACAAUGGGCAUGGUUGCUUCAACUCACCCAUUGCUUAGAGACCCACCUACAAAACACGAGGAUCUAUCAGCAAUUUUUCAAGGACGUACAUGAAGCCGAGGAAUGGAUAAGAGAGAAAGAUGAAAUAAUGAACACGGAGUUUAGUCAGGGUGAGUUUAGUUUAGAUGUUGGCGAGAGGCUUUUGCAAGGUAUGCAAGCCUUACGGGACGAACUAAAUACUUUCGGAGACCAAGUUCAGACGUUGGUGCAGAGGGCGCAAACUGUUGUACCUUUGAAACAGAGGAGGCAGCCUAUUACCAGACCUAUGAGCGUCACUGCCAUUUGUAACUAUAAGAAAAAUGACUUUGCAAUCGAACGCAACAAAGAAUGCACCCUAACAGACAACUCCGGAAGAACAAAAUGGAGAGUUCACAACUCCAAGGGAAUCGAAUGCCAGGUGCCUGGAGUAUGUUUUGUACUCCCACCUCCUGACAAAGAUGCUCUGGAUGCAGUAGAUCGUCUACAGCGCCAAUAUGACCGCUCAAUCGCCUUAUGGCAGAAGAAACAACUAAGAAUGAGACAAAAUAUGAUUUUUGCCACCAUAAAAGUGGUUAAAGGUUGGGACCUACCUCAGUUUAUUGCCAUCGGGGCUGAACAAAGAAACGCCAUAAGAAAAGCUUUGAACGAAGACGCUGAUAAGUUAAUUGCUGAAGGAGAUCCGUCUGAUCCGCAGCUGAGAAGGCUCAGAAGGGAAAUGGACGAAGUAAAUCGCCUAUUUGACGAAUUCGAGAAAAGAGCUCGCGCGGAAGAAGAGAGCAAAAACCAAUCCAAAGUGUUCAACAAUCAAAUCUACAAUUUACAACGUGCCUUAGAUGAAGCGGAAAGAAUAAUCAACCAACGUGUCUUAUCAGGUUUACCGCGCGACGUGGACACCCUACAACAUCUAGUCUUGGAGCAUAAAGAAUUCGAAUCUAGACUUCAAAACCUUGAACCGGAAGUGGAACAGGUCAAGGAUACUUUCCGGUCCAUCACACUAAAAACGCCACAACAUAAAAAAGACUUGGAAAAGGUGUUGGACAAGUGGAACUACAUCUGGAACACUUCCAACCUGUACAUCGAGCGUCUUAAGUGCAUGGAAAUUGUCCUCAAUGGCAUGGAAGAUGCUCAGCAAGUUAUCUCGGAGUUUGAAAGUAAACUUGCCAGCCUCAAGGAGCUUCCCAACACUGAAAAGGGAUUGAAAGCUGUGCACGAUGAUCUUUUGAAGCUGGAGAGCGCAGUGGGUCAGCAACAGAUCGCCAUGGAUCAGCUGAAUGAUGAUUUCGAUAAUGCCAGGAGGUUGACUGAGAAGUCCCGCCCGAACCAACGAGGUCCACAUUCAGACGUGGAAAGGCUGGAUAAGGAUGUGCAAAGAUUAAACAGCAGAUGGGCAAGCGUAUGUCAGCAACUAGCCGACCGCUUAAGAGGAUGUCAGCAGGCGUACGAUUUGUUGCAAAAGUACGGGGAAGCUAAACAAGUGGAAGACAAAUGGUUGGAUGAGCAAUAUGGUAAAUUGGAAGCUUUGCAGCCGAUUAAGGAUAGGGCCAAGGAGCAUUUGGAUGCCACCCGGAACUUGUUGAACAGCGUUGUGGAACGCACCCCCAAGAUAGAACAGGUCAAUUUGAACGGUGGUAGAUUCAUCAGGGAAGGAAAGAUAUGGAGCAAGGGCGUGCAAAAAUUCCGCGACGCCCUUCUCGACGCCAGUCCCUCACUGGAUGCGAGCGACGCGUUCCGGAAACCGGAAAUGACGACGGGCCAAUCCGGCGCCGACGUCGUCAGUAGGGAAUUGGACGAAAUGAACGAUAGAUAUCGUUACUUGAUGGACUUGUUGUAUGGAAGGUUGCAGGAGAUUGCUAAGAUGAAUCCGAACGACAUAGUAACAUUGAGAUUGGUCGAACAAAUGCAACCGCAACCUUUCAGAACGUUCAGGACCGAAUUCCAUAUGAGUAGUGCAAGCGAACACACCUCAACCUAUACCACGACGACACAUUACAGCAAACAGUAUAUUCAAUCAACAAGAACGGAAAAUGGUACGACAAUAAAAAUAUCUGACCAAAAACAUUCAAAACAUAAUUCGGACGAGACAGACCGAAUCACAAACGGCCGUCCUCCAGAUAAGCACACCACUCGUACACAAAUUAUUCAGGAGGUGCCACAAACCUGGGGUACCUCAAUGCAAUUUACAGAAAUUAAAUCUCUUAAGCGGGUGCAUAAAGUAAAUGAAGGUAUCGGCACUGAGCCUAUUAGUGAUAUGGCCGGUAUAAUAAAUCCUUACACUGGAGAACAUAUGACCAUCAAAGAUGCCAUAUUGGAAAGAAUUUUGGAUGUUAGAAGUGGUAGAAUAAUUGCCUCGCCUGAUGGUACUCAGGUGACCAUCGAGGAAGCGAAAAGACGUGGAAUAAUAGAUCCUAAAGUAGCUGACAAAUUACAAAGUCCAUGUGGCAUCAACGAAGAUGGCAGAGAACUGACUCUACUAGAAGCAAUUCAGAAAGACAUCUUUGACGCUGAACACGGUUUCACUGAUGGAAGUGAGAAGCGUCAAAAGGUAACUCAUUCAAUGACGAUAAACCAAGCCAUUGAUGAUGGUAGAGUAGACGUUAAUUCAGGCACAUACAGGCUAGAAACUGGCGAAACCAUUGAUAUACAGGAGGCGUAUAAAAGAGGGUACCUUCUGCAGCACACGGAAGUUAAAUUACAAACGGGUGCUUUAUCUUUAACAGACAUCAUAACCCAAGGUUUGAUCGAUGACGUUACUGGUUGGAUCAUUGAUAGGAAUUCGGGAAAUAAGUAUCAAAUCGAUGCGGCAGCUAAAUGUAACAUUCUCGAGAAUGAUCUUCGUGAAAUUGUCGAUCCUAAAAUUGAUUCUAAAGUUACAGUUAUACAAGCGCUCGAGCGGGGCAUUUUGAAUCCAAAACUCGGAAAAUUCGUUUCGGGUCACGAAAAAUUAUCUUUACUUGAAGCUAAACGGCGGCAGCUUAUCGUAAAACCAAAAACCCUAAAAGAAGUCGUUGACGAUAAUCUUAUUGAUGAUGAAGGUAAAAUCCUUUCUCCCUUACAUCUCUCCAGACUAACUCUUCUUGAAGCAGCUAACCGUGGCGUCUUAGAUGUAGAUCAAAUAAAAUCCAUUCUAGACUUUCGUACCAGUGAUCUUAUAACCUUAAACGAAGCCCUUAAAGAGGGCAUCAUCCUCCCUGAUAGCAAAUUCCGAAAUCUCGUAACAGGUGAAACGCUCGCUAUACAAGAUGCAGUUAGUCGUGGCUAUAUAAUAUCCGUAGUUAGAAAAUCCAUCUUUGAUGUGGAUGGCUUCCAGCCACCAGAUAAGAGCGAUCAUAUAAGUUUCAAUGCGGCUUGCGCUAAAGGUUUUAUCAGUAAAAAACAAAACGGCAGCUUAUUAGUUAAUAAAAAGAGCGGCAAACUUAUUACUUUCGCCGAAGGGGUUCAAACUGGCGAAGUAAAACCUGAGGUAUAUGAAAUGCUCACUCGGAAUAUAGGUAUCUUCGAAAACGAACGUGAGUUAACUGUUUUAGAAGCAGUAUUCAACGGAUACAUAGAUCCAAAAACCGGUAAUCUUCUAGAUAUAAAGACUAGCAAAGUGGUGUACCUGAACGAAGCCAUCGCGCAGCAUCUUAUUACCCCUGAAGGAGCAUCUACGUUAAAUAGUCUUCUAAAUCUAAAUGUUUCCACAAAAGUAACCCGUACUCUAGUGCAGCGCUAUGUCACAGUCACUAGUAAAGACAUUAAGCAAGAGACUAUUACUUACACUGACGCACUGCGCCUUGGACUUAUAAACAAUGAGUUGCAAACAUUUACAGACCCUACUACUAAAGAAACCAUUCCUAUAGUGCAAGCUAUUAGCGAGGGCAAGCUUGCUCCAGAUGUCGAGAGCUCAGAAAUGGUCAUUAGUCCUCAAAAAGCUCCUUGUUCAACUGUGAUAACUAUCGUAAGCAAAAAGGAAACGCCAAUUUAUAGGGAGCAAGUCCAAACUAAGACAGGUGACUUCAUUCUCUCAGAAAAACGAUCUUCUGAAAAGCAGGUCUAUGAGUUACCAAGUGACGGGUGGUCAUUGCAGGACGCCAUUAACCAAAAACUAUUCGACCCUGUCACGGGAUUAUUUAUAAUUCCUGGCACUGACAGAUUGGCUAGCUUUGAAGAAUGCGUUCAAUUAAAACUGAUUAGCUCCCACUCAGCAAUAGUAAUUGAUCCAAUAAGCCAGAGACGAUUAAGUAUCAACAAAGCACUGGGCAAAAAAAUCGUGGACUCCACUGGACACUACAAAAUCGAUGGCAAAAAGCUCACGUUAAAAGAAGCAAUUGAGCAGGGGUAUAUUUUAUUCGAAAACGUUACCCAGAAAGACCAAGCAGCACAGAGACUACUUCAAAUAACCAAAUCAGAAGGAGAACCCCCCAAAGUGGAAGUAUCCACAGUCCUUGACAAGAAUCCCCCUGUAUACACUGAGGUUCAUAUAUCAGAAACUGGCACAACAGAACCUGUGCAGGUUUUGCCAGGAGUCAUUUAUGACCCAUCCACCAACGUAGUUGUUUAUCCCGAAAAGAACGAAGCAUUAGAUCUAAUACAAGCGGUCCAAAAAAAUAAACUGCCUGCAGAGACUGUCAAAGUUACAGAUCCCUUCACGGGCAAAACAAUGGAUAUCAAGGAGGCUAUAAGAAGAAACAUCAUUGACCCAGAAAAAGGACAGUACACAGAUAAAGUUGGCCAAAAAAUGUCUCUUAAAGAUGCCGCAAAGUUUGGAAUAGUUUGCGUUGUAGGAGCUCCUAUAGCAGCUGCCACCUCUCUAGUAAAAACGAUUAAAACCUUACAUAUAGUACAUCCUAAAACUGGCGAAAAACUGCCUGUGGAACAAGCGUUGAAGGAAGGUCUAAUAGACUUGGCGACCUACGAAAAGAUGCAGGCUGAGCUAGACAAUAAAGACAUUCCUGGCACAGGUAGCCAAACCACUCUAACCCUGACACACAGCGUAGUAAAAAUAACAGACCCAAACACCGGCAAGACAUACACAUCACAAGAAGCAUUAGAGCAAGGACUAAUAACGCCUCAACAACUGGAAGAGAUUGAGAAGCAAAAUAAAGAUUCUACAAAAAUCAAGGUUCUUGAUACCACAACCAUUAGUCUGGAUAAUGAUGAUGGCCCCUCAGAGGCAGAAAAGACUAGAGCUCGUAUAACAAUUGAACCAACAUAUAAAGUAAAAAUAGGCAGAGCCCAGUCGUUGAGUCCUGAGAGAGAAGCAAAAAAAGUAGUACUUCAGAAGCUUCGAAGGAGAAUAGUCAGGCCUGAAGAUGCCGAAAAGAAGGGCCUAGUAGAGUCUGAUGCAGCUAUUUUGCUUACUGAUAAAAACACUUUUAUUGGCCCUACGGGCGAAACAUUGACACUUCAAGAAGCUUUGGAAUCUAAAGGAUUAGAUGGCGAUAUGGGUGUUAUUAUAGACCCCCAACGUGGUGAUCAAUUAACUAUUAAUGAAGCCGUAUCACGUGGUAUCCUAGAUCCCGAUAGUUCCAACGAGAUUCUAGUGCCUAUUAAUCGAAGUCUUUCCAUUCCAGAAGUUAUCAAACAAGGACUUAUUGACACAGAGACGCAGAAAGUUAUUCAUCCAGAAACUGGAGCACACCUUAGUAUUAGUGAAGCUAUAGUCUGUGAUAUUGUUGAUCCCUUAAGUACUUUAAGAGAAAAAACUGGCGAUAAAUUAACUUUAGGUGAAGCUCUUGAGUCUGGGGUGGUUGACGAUGAAACGUCUGUAGUGGUCACUAAAGAUGGUAGCAAAAAUCUUCAAGAAGCGGUAGAGGCCCAGGUCUUUGAUGACGUCAAGAUUAAAGGGCCACUAGAUUUACCACCUGCUGGAAUGACUUUACCUGUAGCAAUAAAGCGUGGCUUAGUUGACAUAGAAAAAAAAGAACUAGUUCAUCCAGUUACCAAAGAACCGAUUCCUCUAUCAGAUGCGAUUAAGGACAACUUAAUAAUGACUUUACCAUUCCCAGUUGCUUCUCACGCCGUUAAAAUAGAGAAAGCUUUAGAUUCUAAACUUAUCGACGUUAAUGCUGGUACUUUUAAGGAACCCCAAUCUGGCGAAGUGGUUCCAAUAACAGAAGCAAUAGAAAAAGGUCUUUUAAUAGUGAAAGAACCCACAAGUAUUAUUUCAGAAAGUCCUAGCGCUCCAGUAACUACUGUAACAGAGACGGUUAAUACUAUUCAUACUGUCACCACUAAGACUAUUGAGAUUUUAUCAGGUUAUGCCAUGUUAAACAAAGAUGAAGUGCAAAACAUUGAAACUGGCCAGAUAAUCCCAAUUGAGGAAGCUAAGGCACAAGGCAUUAUAAAGGAUGUCAAGGAAACCAAGAACAAAACAGUUUUCAAAGAUAUUCAUAUGUCAUUCUCCGACGCACUAAAUAAAGGCCUCGUAGAUAUGAAUAAAGGAACAUUUACAGAUCCUCAAUCUGGAGAAUCUAUUACUAUCCAGCAAGCUAUCCAAGAUGGUAAAAUAUCCGCGACGCCUCAAAUAAGUGAGGAAUGCAGAGAGGCGUCUGUGACAACAACGAAAACUAGUGAGCUAAAUAUUUCUGAAGCGUUUGAAACCAUUUACGAUGAAAAAACGCAGAGAUUCAUUGACGUAGCCGGCGAUAAACAAGAAAUCACAUUCCAAGAGGCCUUAAACAAGGAAAUUAUUGAUCCCAAUUCCAUUAUUUAUGACGUUACAUCACAAAAACCAGUAACAAUAGAGCAAGCGGUAGAAAGAGGAUUGAUUGAUAGUAAAACUGGCAAAAUUAAAGAUGAAAAGAGUGGCAAGAGCAUCGAUUUUAAGGAGGCAACAAAGAAAGGUCUUAUUGCUGUUCUUGGAGGCUUAGCUCUACCAGUUGUGGCUCCUGUUGUUGCUGGCGUUGCGGCUGUAAAUGCCGUAAAAGAAUACGCCGAGAAAAAGAAGGCUGAAAAUAAAAUUAGUACCGUAGAAGUUGAUAGUUCCACCGAACUUAUUAAGCACGAAGCAAAAGUACAACUACCUCAACAUAAAACUUCCACUGUCCACAUUAUCACCAAAGAAGAAUCUAUUUCUAGCCCAGAUAUUGUACAAAUAUUACCGAUAGGGGAUGCUAUAUCUCAAAAACUGAUAGAACCUAAAAUAUGUCGCAUAAUAUACGCAAGCAAAGAGCUGCCCUACACCAUUCAGGAUGGUUUAGAUCAAGGUAAAGUAAGUCCACUGGAUGAGGUGCAAGUAAUCACAAACCACAGAGUAAUUCUGAUAGAUGUUCACAAAACAGCCAUCAUAACAAUUUCACGACACUUAACAGCACAAAAACUUUGUGAGCUCGGAUAUUACGAUAUGCGAAAGCGGAUGUUCAUGGAUCCUCAAACUGGAGCUCAUAUUACUUUUGAGGAGUUGGUGUAUGAUUUAGGAGUCAUUGAUCCUGAUACCAUUUUGGUCAAAGAUCUGACCAGUAAGCCUCCUACGUACAUAUCGCUCCAUGAAGCCUUGGAAAAACCAUUGCUUGACAGGCAAACGGGUUACAUGGUAGACCGAAAAACAGGCAAAAAAGUACCGUUCUUUGAAGCUGUGAAGCUUCGCUGGAUAAUUCAUGCGGAUGAUAAACCUAAAGAGAAAUUUAAGCCUCUAACUCUUCAAGAAAUUGCCAAUACUGAUAACUUUGAUCCCGUUAAAGUAGAGGUUAAGACUGACAAAGAAAAUGUGCCUCUUAUUAAAGCUUUAAAUUCCAAUCUAGUUGACCCCAAGUCAGUCACUAUUAGAGACUCCAAAAAUAUGCAACUAGUACCUUAUUAUGAAGCUAUUGAUAAACAGAUUGUAGAUCCACAAAGAGGUCUUGUUUUGAAUACUGCCACACAGAAAAACAUUUCUUUCACUGAAGCUUUUCUUACUGGGCUGGUUCUUGCUAUUCCAAGGCCAAUAUCUUUACAAGCUGUUCUACAUAAAGACAUGUAUGAUACAGAAACCCUUAAGAUCAAAGAUCCCUUAACGAAACAAUAUUUAACAGUAAAAGAAAGUAUUGAAAGACAUAUUGUGGAUGACAAGAUUAGUGAGAUCAAAGAUGUUCAGGAAAAUACUUAUAUAACACUGGAGGAUGCUAUUUCAAAAAAUAUUAUAGAAUCUGGGCAGAUUAAGAACACAAAGUCGGGUCAGCUGGUGCCUCUUGAUCAAGCUCUGGAUCAACAAAUGAUUAGAACUAAAUCGUUAGUGUUUAACUUGCUUCAAGUCAUCUUAGCUAAUUACUAUUCUCCCCAAACUGGCCUGAUACUGAACCCUAUUACUGGGGAUGAAAUUACCUUGGCGAAAGCUAUUGAGUAUAAACUGGUAGAUCCAGUGACAACAAGAAUCAAGGAUGAUAGACGCAGCAGAAUCGUUGAAAUACAUGAAGCCAUUGAACAGAAACUCAUAGAUUCCGAAAAGGGGCUUCUAACUAACCCUCCUUUAACUUUAGAUCAGGCUUAUUUGAAAGGCUAUAUCCUAAGUACAGUUUUACCCUGGUCAUUGCAAGAAACUUUGGCCCAAAAUGUAUAUGAUUCCACAACUGGCCAAAUUAUAUUUAAUGACUCAAAUGUUACAAUCAGUCAAGCUAUUGAAGGAGGUAUUGUGAAUCCCAAUGUACUAACAGUGAAGGAUCCUAAGUCCGGAGACAUUAUCACUCUAAAUGAGGCUAUUAAAGCUAAGUUGAUUGACCCUAUAAAGGGGCAAGCCUAUGAUCCAACAACGAACGUAGAGAUGAAUCUAGUUGAGGCGCAAGAACGAGGAUUGAUAGUACCUUAUAAAACUCAAAUAACUCUACCGGAAGCAGUUUUCAAAGGCUUUUACGAUCCAGCCACUGGUAAAUUCAUUAAUCCGAAAAACAAAGAACGGCUGAAAGCCUCGAGUGCUAUCAACAGAGGUUACGUAGAUGCUUCUGGAACUCUUGUUACAAUUGAUGAAGAGGUUGUUACUUUUGAACAAGCAGUUUCCGAUGGCAUAAUUGACACGAACGAGGGUAUUAUUAUGAGUUACAAUGAGCCAGUUGAUUUCAAUGAGGCAUUUGAGCGUGGCUUGUUGGUAGAAAUCCGACCUCCGGUACCUUUAAGUGAGGCUAUAGUCAAAGGACUUUAUGACGAAGAAUCUCAGCUGUUCUUGGAUCCGCAGACUGGGCAAUACUUGACACUAAUCGAGGCAAUUGAAAUUUGUUUGAUUGACGCAGAAUCUGUUAGCGUUAAAGAUACUAGAGUGGGAAUUUGGAGGAAGAUACCACUGAUUGAUGCGAUACACAACAACUAUAUUGAUGGUAACACUGGACAAGUUAAAGAUUUCUCUAAAGGGGAAGGUUAUGAAGUGUCUUUGCAAAAGGCUUUUGAUUUGGGGAUAUUAGUAGAUAAUAAGGCUGCAUUGACAUUGCAGAGAGCCAUUCAUCAAGGAUUGUAUGAUGAAAAUACUGGUAAAAUUCUUGAUCCUUCGACUGACAGAAAAGUGACACUGCAUGAAGCUAUAAGGAACUUUAAUAUUAAUCCUCUGCUUCCUUGUUACUUUGAUAGACAUCAGGGAAUGCUGUACAACUUAAGUGAGACAUGUAGAUUGGGUAUUAUUGAUAAAAGAAAUGGGACAUUUAAAGAUCCCAACACUGAUAAGGUUUUGAAACUGUCAGAGGCUUUAAAUCAGGGAUUAAUGGUUGACAUUGAAACUGCUAACUUUGGUUUAUCUGAGGCUUUGGAAAUGGGAUUUUAUAUUCCUGAAGAAGGUUUGUUUGUACAUCCAUCCACUGGAAGAAAGUAUAACUUAAAAGAAGCUAUUGAAAACGAGUUAAUUAAUCCAGUUAAUUCCAUAGUGAAGAACAGUAAACUAAAUAAAUAUGUGCAGCUGACAGUAGCAAUUGAAACUAAAAUCAUAGAUGAGCAGCUAAGUAUUUAUGUAUACCCUCAUGGAAAAACUAUAAAUUUGUUGGAAGCAAAGAACAAGGGGUUAGUAGUGACUGGAAGAACACCUAUAACAUUAGAGGAAGCGUUACAUAAUUGUCUUUAUAGGCCAGAGAGUGGCAAAAUUGCUGAUCCUAUGAAUAACGAGUUUUAUGAUCUCCGGCAAGCUUUGGCAAAUAAUUUUAUUGAUUCCCAUAGCACUGCUUUCAAAGAUCUUGUAAGUAAUACGACGAAGCCCUUGCCACUCGCAAUAGAAGAGGGACGCAUUGACGUAGAUAAAGGAAGAGUUCUAGACUCGAAGUCGAAAAAAACUUAUAACUUUGACGAAGCGUUUAAAAAAGGAAUUCUAGUGACUUUGAGGAAACCUUUUGAAGUGGACUUCGUGCAGGCUUCUGCAGCUCAAUCAGCUGCUUCACCCACUAGGCAGCUACGCGAAUGUUCUCUAGAUGAAGCUGUUAAAUUCGAAUUACUUAAUCCAGAAGUUUCGGUUGUUAGGGACUUACAAACGGGCAAUUUUAAAUCGGUGGCUGAUGCCCUCAAAGACGGUCAACUUGAGGUUACUAAAACCAUUAUAUUUGACGUGCAAUCGGGUAAAAUCAAAUCUCUGAUAGUAACUUAUGAUCAAUCGGUAAUCAUUUUCUUGAAAGAACCUUUGUCGUUUAAGCAAGCAAUUGAUAUGGGGUAUUUGGAUAUCAAUACUGGUAAGUUCAAGGUGCCUGAUAGUGAAGAUGAAAUAACUUUUAAAGAGUCGAUCACCCUUGGGUUUAUUGAUCCUGAUAGUGCUUUAAUAAAAGACGUGAGUAAAAAGAAACUUAUUAAGCUUCCCGAAGGCUUCAGAAAGGGCCUGAUUGACGCCGAAAAGGGCAACGUAUUAGACAGCUCCACCUCUAAACUAUAUACUCUAUCGGCAGCUCUCGAUAGUGGUCUCUUGGUUACCACUCAAAGUGGUUUCACAUUGAUAGAAAGCGUUACUUAUGGUAUCUAUAAUCCAACUACGGGAUGUUUCAACGAUCCGUUUGUUACCACUAACAUAAUCGAUAGAAAGAAACUGACCCUUACAGAGGCAGUCGCACAAAAUUUAAUAGACCCCAGUUCCACCGUAGUAAAAGAUCUUGAAAAGGGUGUAAUAAUGCCUUUGCUACAAGGAGUUGAAAGUGGUAUAGUAGACGCGCAAGUGGGUCGAGUUCGCGACGUAACUGAGAAAAAGGAUUACGAUUUCGCGAAAGCCCUUGAAAAGGGGUUGAUUUUGCCCGCUGAACAAAGGCAAGCUGUUGAAGAAAAAUACAAACUUUGCGACGAGACUCUCUCAAAACUCCUUCAUUGGAUCGGAGAAGUGGAGGACCGUAUCGCUUCCCAAGACGUUAUCCAUGAAGUUGAAGAAGAUCUUCGUAACCAAAUCAACAUCAUGAAGCAAAUCAGAGACGAUUUAGAACAACAUGCCGGCCAAGUUUCACAUUGUGGCGAUCAAGUUAGGCAGUUGGUGCUCACCGCGGGAGAUAUUUUAUCGAAAAGCGAGGUGUCUGCUUUGGAAAAGAGCGGCCGAAACUUGAAAACUCGCUUUGACAAAGCUAUUGAUAAAACUGAGAAGUUACUGAGACGUCAACUGGCUGCCAGAGACGAACUUGGUAAGCUUAAAGGAGAACUGAACAUAUUCUCUACGUGGUUGGGCAAGGCCAGAAGAACCCUUGAAGAUAAGGAGAGAGCCCUGAGUGAUUUACAAAGGCUCGAUGCCAGCACGGAUAGCACAAGGGAGUUUGUUAGCGAUGUUAUCGCCCAUCAGGCUGAUUUAAGAUUUAUCACCAUGUCCGCACAGAAGUUUGUUGAUGAAGGAAAGGAAUACUUGAUAAUCCUGAACGACUUCCGUACCUCCUUACCAUCCAGACUACCACACAUUGAGCCGAUUUCUUCUCAAGAUUCUCCAGUGCGUAGCGAAGUUUCUCUAGUUACCCAACAGUACAGAGAUUUGCUACACAGAGCCAAUAAUCUUUCUGAUAGAUUAUCAGGCGUUGGUGGACGUCAAAGGGACUAUUCUGAUGCUUUGGAUAAAGCCAGGUCCUGGCUUCGUGACGCCGAACCUAGAGCCAAUAAGUUAUUGAACGAGCCAAUCGGAGGUGAUCCCAAGACUGUUGAAGAUCAACUGCAUAAGGCAAAAUCAUUGAAUAAUGAAUUUGUUGCUAAUGGAAAGCUUAUUGAUAAUGCCAAAGACGCCACAUCUGCCUUGGUACGAUCCCUAGAAGGGCAAAUUUCCCCAUCAGAAAUUCAUCGUUUAGAAGAACCCGUUCAGAAUAUCGAAAACAAAUACAACCAACUAAGUGGUGCCAUUGCAAAUAGAUGCCAAGAAUUAGACACCGCACUGAUCCAGUCCCAAGGAGUCCAAGACGCUUUGGAUGGUAUCAUUGACUGGUUAAACCAGGCCGAAAACCAAUUCAAAAACAUGCAGAGACCCGCUUCUCUGAUUCAAGAAAGACUUGACGAACAACUAAGAGAGCAUAGGGUGUUCCAAUCAGAUAUAGAUACCCAUAUUUCCUCCAUCGACUCUGUCUAUUUGUCUGCUAAUGAGCUGAUUGUGUCUACCAGUAACGCUCGUGUAGCCAAGCAAAUUGAAGGCAAACUAAACGACGUGAAGAACCGCUUCGAAAAGCUCUUUGACAGAGUGCAAAACCGCGGAGUUUUACUUGCCGAAGUCAAUAGAGAUUUGGUGGCAUUUAACAACCAAGCUGCUAAGUUCGAAAAGUGGUACAGUGAAAUCAUGGAAAUAAUCGAGUCUCGAGAGCUCGCCAAGGCACCGGCUGAACAAUACGCUCUUCAAAUGAAGGAAAUCUCGAGAAACCGCGAUGACAACAGAGCGUUAUUCGAAGAAGUUGUUGGCAUCGGCAAGGAAUUGCUUAAUAAACGUGACGUAACUGAUACCAGCAAUGUGAGAGAUCGCGUAAAGAGUAUGGAGAGUCAGUGGAGAGAUCUCGAGAAUCUCAUGGAAGAAAAAACUAAACUGUCCAAACUAAGAGCCGAACAGCAUAGCGCCUACGAAACCUUAAAAGAGCAAGUAUUAGACUGGCUUACCACAAUGGAAACUAAAGUGGCUCGUCUGGAUAUUGUUGCUAUCCACUUAGACACUUUAAGACAACAGAAUGAUGAACUGAAACCCAUAACUUCAGAAUAUAAAGGAUACUCAUCAGUAAUUGACAAGAUCAAUGACAUUGGAACUGCUUAUGACAAUCUUAGCAGAGGAGACAGGCCAGAUUCACCCUCAAGGCGUAAAGGUUAUAGUCCCACCAAGCGGCCAAUGUCUGGACGUAGAUCAUCCCAAGACGCCCGAUCUCCUUCACCAACCAAAGGACUCAGUCCUCUUUCUACCGGCGGAUCAAGUGGAUUCUCCUCAAGACGUUCAAGUCAAGAUGGAUUCCAUUUGGAAGAACUGUCCCCGGUUCAACAACAACUCUCUGAAAUCAAUAAUAGAUAUUCAUUUUUGGGUGUAAAGAUUAAUGAUAGACAAUCGGAGAUUGAUUCGAUACGUGAUGAGCUGAAGAAGCAACUGGAUAAUCUGAAGACUUUAAGCUCCUUCCUUGAAAAGAUCCACAGGCAAAUGCCUAAGGACAGCGUUCCAAAUACUAAAGAAGAAGCUGAUAAGCUAAAUAAACAAAUUAAGCAUGUGCUUGAAGAGAUGUAUGAGAAACAAUCACUUUUGGACACCACCACCAGCCAAGUUAGAGAUCUGUUAAAGCGCAAGGCUGGUGCUAUAGGAGCAGAUAACCUAAAUGACGAACUAGAAGAAGUACUGUCCCACUGGAAGAGUAUCAAUGACUACUUAAAAAAUCGCAUUAAAUUUAUGGAAGACAUGAAAGAAUUCCACGAUACACAUGACUCAUUAAACUCUUGGUUGGGUGCUAAAGAGCGUAUGCUCACAGUCCUUGGUCCAAUUUCAAGUGACUCCAGAAUGGUCCAAUCUCAAGUUCAACAAGUACAAGUGCUUCGCGAAGAGUUUAGGUCACAACAGCCCCAGUUACAGCAUCUCUUAGAUGUAGGGGAUGAUGUAUUAUCAUAUUUGGAACCGCGCUCCAGUGACCAUCAAAAGAUCGAUAAUAAGCUCACGGCAAUUCAACAAAAAUGGGCUGAUAUUCUUGGAAAAUUGGAUGAACGCGCUGAUUCCUUGGGAGCGGCAGCUGACACCAGUAGAGAAUUUGAUGCUCAAUUGACGCGACUUAAAGAUGCUUUACAAGGCAUCUCUGAUAAUUUGGAUGAAGUUUCUUUCGAAAAAGACCCAGAGGAGCAACUGCGAAAAGUAGAAAACCUGGAGCGUCAACUGGAAGGACAAAGACCUCUUCUUGCAGACCUGGAAGCAAAUGGUGCCCAAUUAUGCGAAGUGCUCAGCGACCCAGCAUCUAGAGCCGACAUACAGAGCAAGCUGGCAUCCAUAGGACGUCAGUACAACGCUUUGCAAAAGAAAUUAGACCUUAAGAAGGCUGAAAUUGAAGGAUCUCUUCGUGAUGGACGUCAGUUCGAAGCCUCAUGUGCUAAAACCCUCGGUUGGCUUUCGGAUGAGCUCGGAUCUUUAACCGAAAGACUUUUAAUCUCUGCAGAUAGAGAUGUUCUUGAGCAACAACUUGUUAAUCACGAACCUAUCUAUAGGGAUGUCCUUGCAAGAGAACACGAAGUGAUAAUGUUACUCAACAAAGGCCGAGAAAUGGUGUCAAGGUCGACCAAGGCCGACACUAGAGCAGUGCAACGAGAUUUGGACAAAAUCCAACAAUCUUGGGAAAAAUUGCGUAAAGAAGCUGUAGACCGACAGACACGUCUUAAGACAUGCCAAGAACACUGCCGCAAGUAUUACACUACCCUAGAAUCUUUCCUGCCCUGGCUAAGACAAGCUGAGGAUAAAAUUGACUCUUUAAGACUACAAUCGUUUGAAAAGAAACACAUUGAAAAACAACUUAGGGAACUGCAAGCUUUUAGAAAUGAAGUAUGGAAAAAGAGUGGUGAAUACGAAAAUACCCGCUCACUUGGAGAAACGUUUUUGUCUUCGUGUGAUAUUGACAAAGAAAUUGUAAAGAACGAGUUGCAAGAACUUAAAGAACGCUGGGACAAACUUAACAAUGACCUUAUCCUAAGAACCCAAGCUUUAGAAGAUCAAUCUAGAAAACUAGGAGACUUCAACGAAAAUUUGAGGGAUCUCAAACACGGUCUUGAAAGAUGCGAGGAUAAACUGGCAUCGCAUGACGCCUUAGGAGGUGCAUCCAGAGAUCCCAAACUCCUAGACCGAAUUAAGGCUUUAAGGGAAGAAACCGCCGGAUUAAAGAAACCAUUGCAAGCUCUUAAAAAUCAAGCUGAAGAUCUAUGCCACGAAGCUGCCGAGAACGGUAUUGAUGCUAACCAACUGAAAGACGACGUUGACAGCAUUGGAGACCGCAUUAAUGAUUUACAAAGCAAAUUAAACGACAGAUGCUUAGAUCUUCAAUCUGCUGCAACAGCCGUUACCCAGUUUAAUGAUAAAGUUAAAGGACUUUCACAUGAUCUUUCUGCCUUGGAGACUGAACUUGAUAACAUGAAAGCUCCUGGACGCGACAUUAAGACUGUGCGAGGACAACUCGAUGAUGUGGCCAGGUUUAUUAGCAAAGUGGCCAAAGCUCAUAACGAUGUCGAAGAUACUAUAUUAGCCGGAGAACGUCUUGUUGAUAGCGGAUUUGCUCCGGACACCGCUCAGACACGCCAACAAGUUGAUGCAUUGAAGAGACAACUUGGAAAGUUGGAUGAUCGUGCGCAUAACAGAGAACAGGAGCUAGAGUCUGCUCUUAAAAAGCUAGAAGACUUCUACAUCGGUCACGCUGAAGUCUUAGAUGGAGUCAAAGAAGCUUCUGAACAACUGCGCAAGCUUAAACCCAUUGGUUCAGACGUAGAGGGUAUUAGAGCUCAACAAAAAGAUUUUAAGAAGUUCAGAGCAUCCACUGUGGAACCAUUAAAUAAGAGUGUAGAAACAUGCAACAGAUUUGGCCAAGGACUCAUUCAAUCAGCAGCAUCCGGUGUCAACACUCAGAUCCUCGAAAAAGAUUUAGAAAAAAUGAACGAUCAGUGGAACACCUUAAAAGAAAAAAUUAACGAUCGCGAACGUAAACUUGACAUUGCCUUACUUCAAUCAGGCAAAUUCCAAGAAGCCCUCGAUGGGUUAUCAAAAUGGUUGGCUGAUACUGAAGAGCUUGUAGCAAAUCAAAAAGCUCCUUCGGCUGAUUACAAGGUAGUUAAGGCACAGUUGCAAGAGCAAAAAUUCUUGAAAAAGAUGCUCUUGGACCGUCAGAAUUCCAUGUCGUCUCUGUUUACUAUGGGCAAUGAGAUCGCUAAAGAAGCUGAACCGUCUGAGCGUAAGGCUAUUGAGAAACAAUUAAAAGAUCUUAUUGGGCGUUUUGACGCCUUAACAGAAGGAGCUCAACAACGCACCUUGGAUUUAGAGCAUGCAAUGAAAGUUGCCAAGGAAUUCCAAGACAAGCUGACUCCAUUACAAGAUUGGUUGGAACGAAGCGAAAAGAAGGUUAGAGACAUGGAACUCAUACCCACUGAUGAAGAAAAGAUUCAGCAGAGGAUUAAGGAGCAUACAGCUCUUCACAAUGACAUUUUAAGCAAAAAACCUGACUUUAGAGACCUUGCUGACGUCGCCUCUAAUUUGAUGAACCUGGUUGGUGAUGAUGAGGCCGCCACUCUGGCCGAUAAGUUAACUGAAGUAACUGACAGAUAUGGCAAUUUGGUAGACGCUAGCGAGAAUAUUAGGCAACUACUUGAGGCAUCAAGAAAAGGCCUUAGGACAUUGGUCCUAACUUACCAAGACUUAGCUGGGUGGAUGGAUGCCAUGGAACAGAGGUUGGCUCGUUACAAAGUCCUAGCUGUCCAUACAGAUCGUUUGUUAGAACAAAUGGAUGAUCUUGUCGGCCUUACAGAAGAUAUCGUUGGACGUCAAAAAGAUAUUGAUGAUACAGUUGAUGCUGGUAUUGAACUAAUGAGGCACAUAUCAUCUGACGAAGCGUUGCAACUUAAAGAUAAACUCGAUUCGCUGCAGAGGCGUUAUAAUGAUCUUACUUCACGUGGAAACGACUUGCUUAAGAACGCACAAGCGUUGCUGCCAUUGGUGCAGAAGUUCCAUAAUAAUCACAAUCGUUUGGUGGAAUGGAUGCAGGGUGCCGAAUCUAUUUUACAGUCUGCAGAGCCAAACGAGGGAGAAAUCGCUCGAUUGGAAGUAGACCUGCAAGAACUAAGACCUGUGCUUGAAACUAUUAACGUGCUUGGGCCACAACUUUGCCAAGCCAGUCCGGGAGAAGGUGCCGCAACUAUUGAAGGCCUAGUAUCCAGAGACAAUAGAAGAUUUGAUGCUAUUGCUGAACAGAUUCAACGCAGAGCUGAGAGGAUCCAUCUGGGAAAACAACGUGCCUUGGAAGUUACCGGAGAUAUUGACGAGCUCCUAGAAUGGUUCCGAGAGGUUGAAGCCCAAAUAAAAGAUGCGGAAAAACCGUCAGCUGAACCCGAUUUGAUUCGUGUGCAACUUAAGGAGCACAAGGCUCUGAAUGAUGAUAUUUCCAGUCAAAAGGGUAGGGUACGUGAUGUGCUUUCCACCGCAAAGAAGGUGCUGAGAGAGAGCCCGCCAAGCGAAGACACUUCACUAAUCAGAGAAAAGAUGGAAGAUCUUAGAGAAGCUAUGGAUAACGUAUCCGCAUUGAGCUCUGAUAGGUUGGGAAUCUUAGAGCAAGCCCUGCCGUUAGCGGAACACUUCAACGAUACCCAUAUUGGCCUCUUAAAUUGGCUAGGCGAUAUCGAGCAGGAAGUAUCCAUGCUUACGAUGCCCGCUUUGAGACCUGAAGCGAUCCAGCAACAGCAGGAUAAAAACGAAAUGCUUGUUAAGAGCAUUCACGAACAUAAACCCUUGGUAGAUAAGCUAAAUAAGACCGGGGAGGCUUUGAUAAGACUUUGCAAUGAAGAUGAUGGAUCUAAGGUGCAAGAGAUUCUCGACAGCGAUAACGCAAGAUACGCUGCCCUUAAAUUAGAGCUUAGAGAAAGAGAACGUGCUUUAGAGCAAGCCAUGCAAGAAAGCUCGCAAUUCUCCGAUAAACUCGAGGGAAUGUUAAGGGCUUUAACAAAUACUGCCGAUCAAGUAAACAACCAAGAGCCAAUUUCCGCUCACGUUCCAAAGAUUCGCGAUCAGAUUGACGAUAAUGAUGCUAUUGUGAGCGACUUGAACAAGAGAAAAGAGGCUUACGCAGCGGUCCAACGUGCUGCCGAUGAUGUGAUCACUAAGGCCGGCAACAGAGCCGAUCCAGCCGUUAAGGAUAUCAGACACAAGCUGGAUAGACUGAAGAAGCUUUGGGACGAUGUCCAGAGGGCUACGAAAGACAGAGGUCACUCUCUGGAUGACGCUUUGGAUGCAGCCCAGAAGUUCUGGAAGGAGUUGCAUGCUAUCAUGGCUACCUUGAAAGAUCUCGAAGACUCGUUGGUAAGCCAGGAGCCUCCUGCGGUGGAGCCUAAAGCGAUUCAGGAACAACAAGUGGCAUUACAAGAGAUCAGACAGGAAAUCGAUCAAACUAAGCCGGAAGUGGAUCAGGUGAGGAGUUCCGGGAAGAAGCUGAUGAAGCUCUGUGGGGAACCCGAUAAGCCUGAAGUGAAGAAGCAUAUUGAAGACUUGGAUAAUGCGUGGGAUAAUAUUACAGCCUUGUAUGCCAAGAGGGAGGAAAAUCUGAUUGAUGCUAUGGAGAAAGCUAUGGAAUUCCAUGAAACUUUACAGGACAUUUUGGCCUUCUUAGAUAAAGCAGAGAAGAAAUUUGAUAAAAUGGGACCACUGGGCGCUGACAUUGACGCUGUAAAGCGUCAGAUCGACCAACUUAAGGCCUUUAAGGCAGAAGUUGAUCCACAUAUGGUCAAAGUUGAAGCUCUUAAUAGGAGUUUGAUAAGGCAAGCCCAAGAACUCACCGAGCGCACCUCGGCCGACCAAGCGGCCUCAAUAAAGGAACCGCUCUCAACCGUCAAUAGACGCUGGGACGACCUUUUACGCGGCAUGGUUGAAAGACAGAGACAAUUAGAAAACGCACUACUACGUCUCGGCCAAUUCCAACAUGCGCUCAACGAGCUGCUGGUUUGGAUUUCCAAGACCGACAAGACGUUGGACGAACUUAAACCUGUCGCAGGAGAUGCACAAACUUUAGAAAUUGAACUUGCCAAGUUGAAGGUUCUAAUCAAUGAUAUACAAGCACAUCAGACCAGUGUUGACACCUUAAAUGAUGCGGGAAGGCAGAUCAUUGAGAGUGGAGAAGACCGUCAUGAAGCUUCAGCGACUCAAGAGAAGCUAAACACAUUAAAUACUCAAUGGCGCGCACUAGUUCAAAAAGCAGCUGAUCGUCAGAGAGAGCUUGAAGAUGCCUUGAGUGAAGCUCACAGCUUCAACCAAGAAGUCCAAGAUCUACUGGCAUGGCUUGGUGAUGUCGAUAACGCUGUGGCUGCCUCUAAACCAGUUGGAGGACUACCAGAAACCGCCUCAGAACAACUUGAGCGAUUCAUGGAGGUCUAUAAUGAAAUUGAAGAUAAUCGUCCUAAAGUGGAAACCGUACUGGCUCAGGGACAAGAGUAUUUGAAGAAAGCACCAGCGAAUUCCGCUUCUAACUUGCAGCACAACUUAAGAACGUUAAAGCAACGUUGGGAUUCCGUCACCGCACGUGCCAAUGAUAAGAAGAUUAAGUUGGAAAUAGCCCUUAAGGAAGCAACGGAAUUCCACGAAUCAUUACAAGCAUUUGUUGAUUGGUUAACUAACGCCGAAAAGAUUUUGACUAAUCUCAAACCUGUGUCAAGAGUAUUGGAUACUGUGCAACAUCAAAUUGAGGAACACAAAAUAUUCCAAAAGGAUGUAAGUGCUCACAGGGAAAUUAUGCUAGCAUUAGACAAAAAGGGUACCCACUUAAAAUACUUCAGCCAAAAACAAGAUGUUAUUCUGAUAAAGAACUUGUUAAUCAGCGUGCAACAUCGUUGGGAACGAGUGGCGUCUAAAUCUGCCGAACGAACCAGGGCGCUAGACUUGGGUUACAAAGAAGCCAAGGAGUUCCACGAUUCUUGGGCUGGUUUAAUGAACUGGCUUGAGGACACCGAACAAAAUCUGGAAGAUCUUAUGAACGACACAGCUGGCAACGAUCCAGAGAAGAUCAAAGCACGGCUGGCCAAACACACAGAGUUCCAAAGAGCUUUAAGCGGCAAACAAGCCACUUACGACGCUGUCAUGAAAAGUGGCAAAAACCUAAAAGAUAAGGCGCCCAAGUUCGAUGAAAACACUUUGAAACAGAUGCUGCAAGACCUAAAGAACAAAUGGACAAGUGUGUGCAAUAAGAGCCGCGAGAGGCAACAGAAACUGGAAGAAGCUCUGCUCUAUUCUGGCCAGUUUAAGGAUGCCGUGGCCGCACUGCUGGAAUGGCUAAAGAAAGCCGAAAAGGAGUUAUCACAGGACAGUCCAGUGCACGGAGAUUUAGAUACUGUCACUCAUUUGAUUGAUAUUCAUAGACAGUUCGAGAAGGAACUUGAGCAGCGUAACGAUCAAAUGGAGUCCGUUAUGCGCAGCGGUCAAGAACUAGAAAGGACCGCUAGUAAACAAGAUGCGGCCCAUAUAAGACAUCAACUAACAGACCUCACUCAACUAUGGGAAUCUGUUACUGGAUUAACCCAUUUGAAAACUGAUCGUUUGCAUGACGCCCUCAAGGAAGCUGAGAAGCUUCAUAAGUCAGUAAACAUGAUCUUGGACUGGCUAAGCGAUGCUGAGAUGAAACUUCGCUUUGUUGGCAACGCACCUGAAGACGAAUCGGCCGCCUACGAACAACUGAAAGCGCUCGAUGAAUUCAGGGCCCAACUUAACGAAAAAGAAAUCGAAAAAGACCAAACCUUAAACUUAGCUCAUAAUAUUUUGGCUAAAGCCCAUCCAGAUUCCAUCAACGUAAUCAAAAACUGGAUUAAAGUGAUAAAAUCGCGAUGGGAAGAGGUGUCGCAGUGGGCGUUGCAGCGUCAUCAAAAGAUCUCCGCGCAUAUGCAGUCGUUGCGCGAUAUGGACGAGACCUUGGAGGAGCUCAUUCAGUGGCUCCUGGGCUUGGAGAAUACUCUGAUCGCAUUAAAGAAGGAAGAGUUACCGAUGGAUAUUUCCGCGACCGAGCAGCUUAUUGCGGACCACAAGGAGUUUAUGGAGAACACCCAGAGGAGACAAGCGGAAGUCGAUAAGGUUUGCAAGGCUAAGCAGGUGAAAAUUGUUCAGCCUGGGAAGGAUCCCAGGAAGUUCGGCAAAGGAAAAGGACCCAUUCGCGGCUCUCAGCACGACUUACACGAGACUUCUUCAGAACACGGCACCCUUGGGCGUAAGCAAAGCUUCAAAGGAUCAAGAGAUUUAUUAUCGCAACGUGGAAGUCGCGUCAGUCCUGGAAGAGAGCUCAGUCCCGAUCCCGGUUAUCCUCACAUCGGGCCCAGGUUCCCACCUGCUGGAAGCGAACCCGAAUUCCGUUCGCCACGUGUCAAAUUCCUAUACGACAAGUGGCGUCACGUGUGGGUACUGUCAUGGGAAAGACAGCGUGAACUCUACGACCAUUUGGCUUAUCUGAAAGAAAAAGAAAAGGCGGACAACUUCUCAUGGGAUGACUGGAGGAAACGCUUCUUGAAGUUCAUGAACUACAAGAAGUCCAGGUUAACAGAUCUCUUUAGGAAAAUGGACAAGGACAACAAUGAGCUGAUCCCCAGAGAAGAUUUUAUCGAUGGAAUUAUUAAAACCAAAUUCGACACUUCAAGGUUAGAAAUGAAACACGUAGCAGACAUGUUCGACGAGAACAACCGCGGACUGAUCGACUGGAAGAAGUUCAUCGCCGCCCUCAGACCCGAUUGGGAAGAAAAAGCUCCGGAUCAUGACGCCCAGAAAAUACACGACGAGGUCAAGAGGUUGGUCAUGUUGUGUACCUGCAGGCAAAAGUUCCGGGUAUUCCAAGUCGGUGAAGGAAAAUACAGGUUUGGCGACAGUCAGAAGCUUCGUUUGGUACGAAUUCUGCGUAGUACCGUUAUGGUACGUGUAGGCGGAGGCUGGGUUGCCUUAGAUGAAUUCCUUUUGAAGAACGAUCCGUGCAGAGCUAAGGGCCGCACUAACAUUGAGCUGCGCGAGCAAUUCAUCCUGGCCGACGGCGUGUCGCAGACGAUGACCGCAUUUAAGAGCAAAAGGUCGUCAGCCAGCCCGGUAUCUGGUUCUUCAAGCAGUUCGCUGCGUACACCCCAAGGCCCCAUCACCAAGGUAAGAGAACGCUCCCAACGUUCCGUGCCAAUGGGCAGUCUUCCAAGAACCUCCAAGUCUUCUCUGUCAGCCGGCACACCGGAUUCGCUUAGCGACAACGAAAGUGGAUUUAGAACCCCGAGGAAACCAAGUUACAGGUCCAAUCUGACCCCUGGUGGAUCGCGAAGCAACUCUAGGCCGGCUUCUCGUACGGGCAGUCGUCCGGGAAGCAAACCACCUUCCAGGCACGGAUCUAACUUGAGUUUGGAUAGUACUGAUGAUACCCCAUCAAGAAUACCAAGAAGGACACCAACCACAUCUGGCAGAAGCUCAGCAACCCUUUCCUCUGCCAGGAAAACUGCUGUUAAUGGCACUGGAUCAAGACCAAGAACACCAAGUGGCUUGAGGUCGCCUGCUAGUCCGGCUCUAAGCCGACGAAAAUUGUAAGAAACAGUACCGGAUAGUGAAGUUUUUUCUUGUUGUAAUUUUAAGGAGCGCGAGUUCCGGCAAAGUUAGGCAAGUGACCAUUGGCGUCGCCCCUACAUUAAGGACAGCAUCUAGAACCCGAACACCAUCAGGCUCAAACACCCCCGUUCAUCCCGAACAGGCGACUGCAGUGUCUCGCUUACUAAGAAAAAAUU
RNAcentral lists this unclassified non-coding RNA (25429 nucleotides) under Anthonomus grandis grandis. Its description in RNAcentral is "dystonin". The record is from RNAcentral. Lineage: Eukaryota; Metazoa; Arthropoda; Insecta; Coleoptera; Curculionidae.